RNAcentral lists this ribosomal RNA (331 nucleotides) under uncultured Actinomycetes bacterium. RNAcentral describes it as "bacterial SSU rRNA". It matches the Rfam family "Bacterial small subunit ribosomal RNA", at positions 28 to 351 of the family's 1533-position model. The record is from RNAcentral. Lineage: Bacteria; Bacillati; Actinomycetota; Actinomycetes.
GACGAACGCUGGCGGCGUGCUUAACACAUGCAAGUCGAACGGUAAGGCCGCCUUCGGGUGGUACACGAGUGGCGAACGGGUGAGUAACACGUGGGUAACCUACCUUUAGCUGGGGGACAACCGAGGGAAACCUCGGCUAAUACCGCAUGAUGUGCAAUCUCACGAGAGGUUGUACCAAAGAUAGCUUCGGCUUUCGGCUAAAAGAUGGGCCCGCGACGGAUUAGCUUGUUGGUGGGGUAACGGCCUACCAAGGCUACGAUCCGUAGCUGGUCUGAGAGGACGAUCAGCCACACUGGAACUGAGACACGGUCCAGACUCCUACGGGUGGCAG